Molecule: ribosomal RNA, 371 nt
Filed under: Foraminifera environmental sample
Lineage: Eukaryota; Foraminifera
Description: SSU rRNA
Rfam family: Eukaryotic small subunit ribosomal RNA
Source: RNAcentral
AAGGGCACCACAAGAACGCGUGGAGCAUGUGGCUUAAUUUGACUCAACGCGGGAAAUCUUACCAGGUCCGGACAUAUUGAGGAUUGACAGGCGAUAAGAUAUUAUUAUAUAUUUUAUUAUAUAUAAUAUAUCUAUAAAAAUGAUAGUCCUUUCAUGAUUAUAUGAUAGGUGGUGCAUGGCCGUUCUUAGUUCGUGGAGUGAUCUGUCUGCUUAAUUGCGUUUCAGAUAUAUAAUUAUAUAAUUUAAUAUAUUAUUAUAAUAAAUAUUGUGCUGCCUUAUUAUAUUAAUUUAUUUUAAGGAUUUUAAGUGAACAUAUUUAUAUUAUAUAUAUAUAUUAUUAUAUAUUAAAAUGAAUGCAACGAACGUGACCG